Molecule: transfer RNA, 73 nt
Filed under: Dunaliella viridis
Lineage: Eukaryota; Viridiplantae; Chlorophyta; Chlorophyceae; Chlamydomonadales; Dunaliellaceae
Description: tRNA-Trp
Rfam family: tRNA
About the family: Transfer RNA (tRNA) molecules are approximately 80 nucleotides in length. Their secondary structure includes four short double-helical elements and three loops (D, anti-codon, and T loops). Further hydrogen bonds mediate the characteristic L-shaped molecular structure. tRNAs have two regions of fundamental functional importance: the anti-codon, which is responsible for specific mRNA codon recognition, and the 3' end, to which the tRNAs corresponding amino acid is attached (by aminoacyl-tRNA synthetases). tRNAs cope with the degeneracy of the genetic code in two manners: having more than one tRNA (with a specific anti-codon) for a particular amino acid; and 'wobble' base-pairing, i.e. permitting non-standard base-pairing at the 3rd anti-codon position.
Source: RNAcentral
AGAAGGGUAGCACAAUAGGUAGUGCAUUGGUCUCCAAAACCAAGGGUUGUGGGUUCGAGUCCCAUCCUUUCUG